CCUACGGGUGGCUGCAGUGGGGAAUAUUGGACAAAGGGCGAAAGCCUGAUCCAGCCAUGCCGCGUGUGUGAAGAAGGCCUUCGGGUUGUAAAGCACUUUCAGUGGGGAAGAAAGCCUUGGGGCUAAUACCCUCGAGGAAGGACAUCACCCACAGAAGAAGCACCGACUAACUCCGUGCCAGCAGCCGCGGUAAUACGGAGGGUGCGAGCGUUAAUCGGAAUUACUGGGCGUAAAGCGCGCGUAGGCGGUCUGAUAAGCCGGUUGUGAAAGCCCCGGGCUCAACCUGGGAACGGCAUCCGGAACUGUCAGGCUAGAGUGCAGGAGAGGAAGGUAGAAUUCCCGGUGUAGCGGUGAAAUGCGUAGAGAUCGGGAGGAAUACCAGUGGCGAAGGCGGCCUUCUGGACUGACACUGACGCUGAGGUGCGAAAGCGUGGGUAGCAAACAGGAUUAGAUACCCCAGUAGUC
RNAcentral lists this ribosomal RNA (465 nucleotides) under Vreelandella stevensii. RNAcentral describes it as "partial 16S ribosomal RNA". It matches the Rfam family "Bacterial small subunit ribosomal RNA", at positions 338 to 795 of the family's 1533-position model. The record is from RNAcentral. Lineage: Bacteria; Pseudomonadati; Pseudomonadota; Gammaproteobacteria; Oceanospirillales; Halomonadaceae.